Myotis lucifugus (little brown bat) is the source of this 75-nucleotide non-coding RNA. Lineage: Eukaryota; Metazoa; Chordata; Mammalia; Chiroptera; Vespertilionidae. The record is from Rfam.
GAGACACUCCUAUGGAGCAGGGCUUGCUUCAGUGGGGCUCUGGUCUCACUGAGUCUGCCCCUUGAGUGUGUCACU